RNAcentral lists this ribosomal RNA (497 nucleotides) under uncultured bacterium. RNAcentral describes it as "partial 16S ribosomal RNA". It matches the Rfam family "Bacterial small subunit ribosomal RNA", at positions 28 to 507 of the family's 1533-position model. The record is from RNAcentral.
GAUGAACGCUGGCGGCGUGCCUAAUACAUGCCAGUCGAGCGAACAGACGAGGAGCUUGCUCCUCUGACGUUAGCGGCGGACGGGUGAGUAACACGUGGAUAACCUACCUAUAAGACUGGGAUAACUUCGGGAAACCGGAGCUAAUACCGGAUAAUAUAUUGAACCGCAUGGUUCAAUAGUGAAAGACGGUUUUGCUGUCACUUAUAGAUGGAUCCGCGCCGCAUUAGCUAGUUGGUAAGGUAACGGCUUACCAAGGCGACGAUGCGUAGCCGACCUGAGAGGGUGAUCGGCCACACUGGAACUGAGACACGGUCCAGACUCCUACGGGAGGCAGCAGUAGGGAAUCUUCCGCAAUGGGCGAAAGCCUGACGGAGCAACGCCGCGUGAGUGAUGAAGGUCUUCGGAUCGUAAAACUCUGUUAUUAGGGAAGAACAAAUGUGUAAGUAACUAUGCACGUCUUGACGGUACCUAAUCAGAAGGCCACGGCUAACUACGUG